This 314-nucleotide long non-coding RNA is filed under the name Elaeis guineensis (African oil palm). RNAcentral describes it as "long non-coding RNA (EGUI_LNC010613)". The record is from RNAcentral. Lineage: Eukaryota; Viridiplantae; Streptophyta; Magnoliopsida; Arecales; Arecaceae.
CACCAUUUGCAUGAACUAGAUUCUUGAUUGGGUCCCUCACUGUAUCCGAAAUAUUGAGCACAACCCAUCUUCUAAUCCAUAGCAUCCAAUGCCUAAUGGACAUGGUUGCGUCUUUCUGGUGCAACUGAGCCACUGUAACCAGCCGAGAACAAUCAACCCCAGGAAGGGCCCGCACAUCCACAAUGGUAGAAGACCUUAGACUUAAUAUUUUCUUAGAGAGAUUUGAUUUAGGUCUCACUAAACUUGACUUGAUAUAGUCAUAACAAUUAUGACUAACCUAGUGACAUGGGUUAGCUCGAAUUGUUAGCCACCUC